GAUGAACGCUGGCGGCGUGCCUAAUACAUGCAAGUCGAGCGAACAGACGAGGAGCUUGCUCCUCUGACGUUAGCGGCGGACGGGUGAGUAACACGUGGAUAACCUACCUAUAAGACUGGGAUAACUUCGGGAAACCGGAGCUAAUACCGGAUAAUAUAUUGAACCGCAUGGUUCAAUAGUGAAAGACGGUUUUGCUGUCACUUAUAGAUGGAUCCGCGCCGCAUUAGCUAGUUGGUAAGGUAACGGCUUACCAAGUCAACGAUGCGUAGCCGACCUGAGAGGGUGAUCGGCCACACUGGAACUGAGACACGGUCCAGACUCCUACGGGAGGCAGCAGUAGGGAAUCUUCCGCAAUGGGCGAAAGCUUGACGGAGCAACGCCGCGUGAGUGAUGAAGGUCUUCGGAUCGUAAAACUCUGUUAUUAGGGAAGAACAAAUGUGUAAGUAACUAUGCACGUCUUGACGGUACCUAAUCAGAAAGCAACGGCUAACUACGUG
RNAcentral lists this ribosomal RNA (497 nucleotides) under uncultured bacterium. Its description in RNAcentral is "partial 16S ribosomal RNA". It matches the Rfam family "Bacterial small subunit ribosomal RNA", at positions 28 to 507 of the family's 1533-position model. The record is from RNAcentral.